Xenia sp. Carnegie-2017 is the source of this 350-nucleotide long non-coding RNA. RefSeq lists it as uncharacterized. NCBI's taxonomy places the organism in Eukaryota, Metazoa, Cnidaria, Anthozoa, Malacalcyonacea, Xeniidae. The transcript is spliced from 2 exons. The record is from RefSeq and is a predicted model, not a curated record.
UCAAUGUGAUGAAAGCAAUGAAAGAAGAAAAGGCAGCAAUGAAGGCACUAUUUGUUGCGGACUGUUCUUUUUUUUUGCCUUCUGCCAAUCAGCUGUUAGAUGGGAUGACACCUGAAAUUAGUGAAGAAGGAAGCAAUUGCAAAAUGGCAGAAGUUGAUGUUUAUAAAUUCUUUCUCGAUUUCUUGCAGGAUUCCAAUGCUUUCCAAGUAAAAGAGGCAAUUGACUCUGCACUUAUCGAAGGAAAGGGAUUUGGCUUCAUUUAAAAAUGAUAAUUGUAUUUUAUCAUUUACAGGGGAAUAGCAAUCAACGGGAGUGUUAACCGUAAAAAAAUUCAUAAUUUUUAAUGGUAA